RNAcentral lists this transfer RNA (75 nucleotides) under Candidatus Levybacteria bacterium RIFCSPHIGHO2_01_FULL_41_15. RNAcentral's name for it is "tRNA-Ile". It matches the Rfam family "tRNA". From Rfam's summary of the family: Transfer RNA (tRNA) molecules are approximately 80 nucleotides in length. Their secondary structure includes four short double-helical elements and three loops (D, anti-codon, and T loops). Further hydrogen bonds mediate the characteristic L-shaped molecular structure. tRNAs have two regions of fundamental functional importance: the anti-codon, which is responsible for specific mRNA codon recognition, and the 3' end, to which the tRNAs corresponding amino acid is attached (by aminoacyl-tRNA synthetases). tRNAs cope with the degeneracy of the genetic code in two manners: having more than one tRNA (with a specific anti-codon) for a particular amino acid; and 'wobble' base-pairing, i.e. permitting non-standard base-pairing at the 3rd anti-codon position. The record is from RNAcentral. RNAcentral also lists the same sequence under 1 other name. Lineage: Bacteria; Candidatus Levyibacteriota.
GGGUGGCUAGUUCAGCGGUAGAACGCUUCUCUGAUAAAGAAGAGGUGGAUGGUUCGACUCCAUCGUCACCCACUA